RNAcentral lists this ribosomal RNA (261 nucleotides) under uncultured bacterium. Its description in RNAcentral is "partial 16S ribosomal RNA". It matches the Rfam family "Bacterial small subunit ribosomal RNA", at positions 524 to 781 of the family's 1533-position model. The record is from RNAcentral.
UACGGAGGGUGCAAGCGUUAUCCGGAUUCACUGGGUUUAAAGGGUGCGUGGGCGGGCAUAUAAGUCAGUGGUGAAAUCCCCGAGCUUAACUUAGGGAACGUGCCGUUGUAUACUAUGUGUCUUGAAUAUCGCGGAGGUAAGCGGAAUAUGUCAUGUAGCGGUGAAAUGCAUAGAUAUGACAUAGAACACCGAUUGCGAAGGCAGCUUACUACACGAUCAUUGACGCUGAGGCACGAAAGCGUGGGGAGCAAACAGGAUUAG